GUAGGUGGCAAGCGUUGUCCGGGAAUUAUUGGGGCGUAAAGCGCGCGCAGGCGGUUCUUUGAGUCUGAUGUGAAAGCCCACGGCUCAACCGUGGAGGGUCAUUGGAAACUGGAGAACUUGAGUACAGAAGAGGAAAGCGGAAUUCCACGUGUAGCGGUGAAAUGCGUAGAGAUGUGGAGGAACACCAGUGGCGAAGGCGGCUUUCUGGUCUGUAACUGACGCUGAGGCGCGAAAGCGUGGGGAGCAAACAGGAUUAGAUACCCUGGUAGUCCACGCCGUAAACGAUGAGUGCUAAGUGUUAGGGGGUUUCCGCCCCUUAGUGCUGCAGCUAACGCAUUAAGCACUCCGCCUGGGGAGUACGGCCGCAAAGGCUG
Molecule: ribosomal RNA, 374 nt
Filed under: uncultured organism
Description: partial 16S ribosomal RNA
Rfam family: Bacterial small subunit ribosomal RNA
Source: RNAcentral